UUAUGAGAGUUUGAUCCUGGCUCAGAACGAACGCUGGCGGCGCGCCUAAUACAUGCAAGUCGAGCGAGAAGGUGUAGCAAUACACUUGUAAAGCGGCGAACGGGUGAGGAAUACAUGGGUAAUCUACCAUCGAGUGGGGAAUAACCAGCCGAAAGGUUGGCUAAUACCGCGUACGCCUCCGGAUCUUCGGGUUCGGAGGGAAAGCCACACUGUGAGUGCGGCGCUCUUUGAUGAGCUCAUGUCCUAUCAGCUUGUUGGUAGGGUAACGGCCUACCAAGGCUUUGACGGGUAGCUGGUCUGAGAGGACGAUCAGCCACACUGGCACUGCGACACGGGCCAGACUCCUACGGGAGGCAGCAGUAAGGAAUAUUGCGCAAUGGGC
Molecule: ribosomal RNA, 382 nt
Filed under: Nitrospira sp. UW-LDO-02
Lineage: Bacteria; Pseudomonadati; Nitrospirota; Nitrospiria; Nitrospirales; Nitrospiraceae
Description: bacterial SSU rRNA
Rfam family: Bacterial small subunit ribosomal RNA
Source: RNAcentral